Molecule: transfer RNA, 71 nt
Filed under: Candidatus Nanoarchaeia archaeon
Lineage: Archaea; Nanobdellati; Nanobdellota; Candidatus Nanoarchaeia
Also listed under: 1 other name
Description: tRNA-His
Rfam family: tRNA
About the family: Transfer RNA (tRNA) molecules are approximately 80 nucleotides in length. Their secondary structure includes four short double-helical elements and three loops (D, anti-codon, and T loops).
Source: RNAcentral
GUGCUCGUAGUUUAGUGGUAAAACUCUGGUUUGUGGAACCAGAAUCGAGAGUCCGAUUCUCUCCGAGCACC